Molecule: ribosomal RNA, 274 nt
Filed under: uncultured bacterium
Lineage: Bacteria
Description: partial 16S ribosomal RNA
Rfam family: Bacterial small subunit ribosomal RNA
Source: RNAcentral
AUACGGGGGGUGCAAGCGUUAAUCGGAAUUACUGGGCGUAAAGCGCGCGUAGGCGGUUUGCUCAGUCGGAUGUGAAAGCCCAGGGCUCAACCUUGGAACUGCAUACGAUACUGGCAAACUAGAGUGUGAGAGAGGAUAGUGGAGUUUCCGGUGUAGCGGUGAAAUGCGUAGAUAUCGGAAGGAACAUCAGUGGCGAAGGCGACUGUCUGGCUCAACACUGACGCUGAGGUGCGAAAGCGUGGGUAGCAAACAGGAUUAGAAACCCUAGUAGUCC